RNAcentral lists this ribosomal RNA (497 nucleotides) under uncultured bacterium. RNAcentral describes it as "partial 16S ribosomal RNA". It matches the Rfam family "Bacterial small subunit ribosomal RNA", at positions 28 to 507 of the family's 1533-position model. The record is from RNAcentral.
GGUGAACGCUGGCGGCGUGCCUAAUACAUGCAAGUCGAGCGAACAGACCAGGAGCUUGCUCCUCUGACGUUAGCGGCGGACGGGUGAGUAACACGUGGAUAACCUACCUAUAAGACUGGGAUAACUUCGGGAAACCGGAGCUAAUACCGGAUAAUAUAUUGAACCGCAUGGUUCAAUAGUGAAAGACGGUUUUGCUGUCACUUAUAGAUGGAUCCGCGCCGCAUUAGCUAGUUGGUAAGGUAACGGCUUACCAAGGCAACGAUGCGUAGCCGACCUGAGAGGGUGAUCGGCCACACUGGAACUGAGACACGGUCCAGACUCCUACGGGAAGCAGCAGUAGGGAAUCUUCCGCAAUGGGCGAAAGCCUGACGGAGCAACGCCGCGUGAGUGAUGAAGGUCUUCGGAUCGUAAAACUCUGUUAUUAGGGAAGAACAAAUGUGUAAGUAACUAUGCACGUCUUGACGGUACCUAAUCAGAAAGCCACGGCUAACUACGUG